GGAGCUGAGCAGAGCGGACAGGACCUCUGGUGCCAGCUCAGUCUGAGGAGCCUGCAGCCAAGAUAAACUGAAACUCUCAACCUGCUCCUUAUUGACACUGCGGAGCAGAGCAGUACACUCCCUCUAGAUCACUGUGGCCUCUGUGUGCGGAGUAGGUGGACUACACACUGCCAGCGAUGUGUAGAUGAAAGAGCAGCGCCUGGCCUCCUAGAGCUCACGUCUCCAGUGGGGAUGGCUGCCCUGG
Oryctolagus cuniculus (rabbit) is the source of this 244-nucleotide long non-coding RNA. RefSeq lists it as uncharacterized. Lineage: Eukaryota; Metazoa; Chordata; Mammalia; Lagomorpha; Leporidae. The record is from RefSeq and is a predicted model, not a curated record.